UUUUUUUUUUUUUUGGUAAUGACUAUAGAGUUUUCUUCACAUUUCACAGAUUGAAACCCUUUACUUUGAGAAUAUGGCUAAACCUGUCCAAAGAUACUGCCCAGAGCUAUUGAUUUGCUCUCUCCAAAAGGACAUUCUUGUCAUUAAAUCAUAUUUUCCUAAAGAUGGGAUGUAGCAAACCUCAUUGACUGCAGCCUAGUGCAUAGCCAGCUCCUUGAGCACAGGAAGGGACUCUCUUCCACACUGGACACAGGUGGCUCCCUCACUUGUUUCCAGAGGUCCUCUUUAGAGCUAGCACCUGUCUCCCACAAGCCCCCGCCCCCACCCCCCCAAGGAAAUUGAAGGAGAACAGCACAGAAUGGGAUGCAGCUGGGGAAAACAAUCUUGGCAAUCCUGCACAGACCCUAUCAGACUGCAGACAGCCAUCCACCUAUUACUGUGCCUACUACAGAUCCUGGCCACAGACCUGGAUGCAAACCUCAACUCCAAAAACUAGUCUAUGGAGUUAAAAGUCAGGAUAGUUCUUACUGUGGGGAGGAGGGAAGGGAAGGGGUUGGGGAGGGGCAUGAGAGGGGCUUCAGAAUGGUAAGAUUCUGUUUCUUGAUCUGGGUGGUAGUUACUGGGU
Molecule: long non-coding RNA, 625 nt
Filed under: Homo sapiens (human)
Lineage: Eukaryota; Metazoa; Chordata; Mammalia; Primates; Hominidae
Description: HSALNT0016925
Source: RNAcentral